This 443-nucleotide ribosomal RNA is filed under the name uncultured bacterium. RNAcentral describes it as "partial 16S ribosomal RNA". It matches the Rfam family "Bacterial small subunit ribosomal RNA", at positions 338 to 795 of the family's 1533-position model. The record is from RNAcentral.
CCUACGGGAGGCAGCAGUGGGGAAUAUUGGGCAAUGGGCGCAAGCCUGACCCAGCAACGCCGCGUGAAGGAAGAAGGCUUUCGGGUUGUAAACUUCUUUUCUCAGGGACGAAGCAAGUGACGGUACCUGAGGAAUAAGCCACGGCUAACUACGUGCCAGCAGCCGCGGUAAUACGUAGGUGGCAAGCGUUAUCCGGAUUUACUGGGUGUAAAGGGCGUGUAGGCGGGAAAGCAAGUCAGAUGUGAAAACCAUGGGCUCAACCUGUGGCCUGCAUUUGAAACUGUUUUUCUUGAGUACUGGAGAGGCAGACGGAAUUCCUAGUGUAGCGGUGAAAUGCGUAGAUAUACGGAGGAACACCAGUGGCGAAGGCGGAUUGCUGGACAGUAACUGACGCUGAGGCGCGAAAGCGUGGGGAGCAAACAGGAUUAGAUACCCUUGUAGUC